Molecule: long non-coding RNA, 699 nt
Filed under: Ananas comosus (pineapple)
Lineage: Eukaryota; Viridiplantae; Streptophyta; Magnoliopsida; Poales; Bromeliaceae
Description: long non-coding RNA (ACOM_LNC025797)
Source: RNAcentral
AACCAAUUCAUGUUAUGCAUUUUCAUACAGCUAACAAUUCUUAGAGAUGAUGUAUGCCUCUAAACACUCCUUAGACGCUGGAUGAUGCAAUGCACAGUACAACAAUCAUCCUAUUUAAAAGUGCUCCACACACGGAAGCUUUUGUUUUUAAAAUCUAAUUCAUUCAUACAUGAAAAUCAUUCAAAAAUCUUUUGAAAACUGUUUCCCACACAGAAACUCUAUUUUGAAAACCGACUACCUCGAGGGGUAGAAAACCACGAUGCGUAAAUCCAUAAAUACAAAUCCGAGAACCACAAAGUAUACAAACAUCCCAAAACUGAAGAUCCAUAAACCAAAUCCACAAUUCUACAAAUCCACAAAUUCAACCAGCUCACAACAUUCAAACAUCAAGUAUGAUCAUCUAACUGAACCAUAUAAACUAACUAAGCUAUAACAACAGAAUAGUAAGGAUAAAAACUAAAUCGAUAACCUGGGUCGGAAGCUCUAUCGACCGCUACGAACGUACCUCACGUCUCGUCCCAAAACUGAUCGCCUGCAAUACCUGAAAAAUGGUGGGGAAGGUGAGAACAUGUAAACAUGUCUCCCCUCCCAGUGGGUACCGCAAGCCGAUGAAGGCGAGGAGUACUCACCGGAUCGGGAAGAGCUAAACAACAGUACGGGUCAGUAGAAAAUACAGUAGCAAUAAUAAUGAAUGAAAGA